AGAACUUUGAAGAGAGAGUUCAAGAGUACGUGAAACCGUUCAGGGGUAAACCUGAGAAACCCAAAAGAUCGAAUGGGGAGAUUCAGCGUUCAGCGAGAAGUACGUGUCUGGCUUCCGUGCGGCGCGCGAUGUUGCGUAUUUAUUUGCGCGGCACGUCGUCGCUGCGGUAUGACCGGCCUCGUCGGCGUGCACUUCUCCCCUAGUAGGACGUCGCGACCCGUUGGGCGUCGGCCGUCGCAAGGCUCGAGAUGGUCGACUGUCGUGCUCCUGGCGCGACAGACCCUCGAUUCGCCCGGCCGGCUGCUCGGCGGUAAUUUUUCUUUAUUACAAUUGACGGUAAAGAGCCGCAUUGAAUGCGUUCGGCUCGUCGGUUGGCUCGCCUCGCUUGGAUUUACGGACCUGGUGCCGUUGCCGGGCGCUUGGUGGGCUGGGGGCUCUCCCCCUCUACACCGACGACGAUCUCGAACUGGCUCGGUGCGCGCGCGUUCGCGCGYGCGCGCAUCCACCUGUCGGCGACGCUUUAGCUUUGGGUACUUUCAGGACCCGUCUUG
Molecule: ribosomal RNA, 551 nt
Filed under: Aphelinidae sp.
Lineage: Eukaryota; Metazoa; Arthropoda; Insecta; Hymenoptera; Aphelinidae
Description: partial large subunit ribosomal RNA
Source: RNAcentral